This 702-nucleotide ribosomal RNA is filed under the name Amanita vernicoccora. RNAcentral's name for it is "eukaryotic LSU rRNA". It matches the Rfam family "Eukaryotic large subunit ribosomal RNA", at positions 131 to 817 of the family's 3401-position model. The record is from RNAcentral. Lineage: Eukaryota; Fungi; Basidiomycota; Agaricomycetes; Agaricales; Amanitaceae.
UCACUGCCCGAGUUGUAAUCUAGAGAAGUGUUGCUCACACUGGACCAUGUAUAAGUCUUCUGGAAUGAAGCGUCAUAGAGGGUGAGAAUCCCGUCUUUGACAUGGACUCCCCAGUGUAUUUGUAGCAUGCUCUCAAAGAGUCGAGUUGUUUGGGAAUGCAGCUCUAAAUGGGUGGUAACCUCCAUCUAAAGCUAAAUAUUGGCGAGAGACCGAUAGUGAACAAGUACCGUGAGGGAAAGAUGAAAAGAACUUUGGAAAGAGAGUUAAAAAGUACGUGAAAUUGUUGAAAGGGAAACGCUUGAAGUCAGUCACAUUGGCCAGGGAUCAACCCAAGCUUUUGAGUGUACUUCCUGGCUGAUGGGCCAACAUCAGCUUUGACUGUCAGAGAAGGGUAGGGGGAAUGUGGCACCCUUCUUGGGUGUGUUAUAGCCCUCUGUCAUAUAUGGCCGUUGGGGCUGAGGAAUGCAGCGCGCCACAAGGCCGGGCUUCGACCACGUUCGCGCUUAGGAUGUUGGCAUAAUGGCUUUAAUCGACCCGUCUUGAAACACGGACCAAGGAGUCUAACAUGCCUGCGAGUGUUUGGGUGGAAAACCCGAGCGCAUAAUGAAAGUGAAAGUUGAGAUCCCUGUCAUGGGGUGCAUCGACGCCCGGACCUGAGCUUUCUAGCAAUGGCUCUGCGGUAUAGCAUGUAUGUUGGGACCC